UCCCUGGUAGUCCAGUGGGUAGGACUUUGCACUUCCACUGCAGGGGACACUGGUUCCAUACCUGGUUGGGAAA
This 73-nucleotide transfer RNA is filed under the name Bos taurus (domestic cattle). It matches the Rfam family "tRNA". From Rfam's summary of the family: Transfer RNA (tRNA) molecules are approximately 80 nucleotides in length. Their secondary structure includes four short double-helical elements and three loops (D, anti-codon, and T loops). Lineage: Eukaryota; Metazoa; Chordata; Mammalia; Artiodactyla; Bovidae. RNAcentral also lists the same sequence under 2 other names. The record is from Rfam by way of RNAcentral.